UACGGAGGAUCCAAGCGUUAUCCGGAUUUAUUGGGCUUAAAGGGUGCGUAGGCGGAUUAGUAAGUCAGUGGUGAAAGCCUGCAGCUUAACUGUAGAAUUGCCAUUGAUACUGCUAGUCUUGAAUAUAGUUGAGGUAGGCGGAAUAUGACAUGUAGCGGUGAAAUGCUUAGAUAUGUCAUAGAACACCGAUUGCGAAGGCAGCUUGCUAAACUAUUAUUGACGCUGAGGCACGAAAGCGUGGGGAGCAAACAGG
This 253-nucleotide ribosomal RNA is filed under the name uncultured bacterium. Its description in RNAcentral is "partial 16S ribosomal RNA". It matches the Rfam family "Bacterial small subunit ribosomal RNA", at positions 524 to 776 of the family's 1533-position model. The record is from RNAcentral.